ACAACGGCAACCGGUAGACCAAGAGAGUACCACCUCAAAGGUUUUCCCUAUGCACUUCAGAUUUGGGCGUAUGAGGUGUUUCCAGCGUUGGCUGCACUACAUUUGGUGGUGCACGAAGAAAAUGCGCACAUCCCUCGUUUACUACAUUGGAGGAGCAAUAGUUCGCCGCGUUUUUAUGAGCUAAUGAGCCAAGUAUUCGAGAACCGUGAGGUUGAUGUGCAGCUUCUCCGGCCAUCUGUGAUGGACAAGCAGCAGCCGUAUUGGACUUGGGGUGACAGUGCUGACGACAGUGAAGAACUUGUUGACUUGUUGGGCGAUGACGCUGAACAACAAACCGGCACUUCUGCCUCUGUAGAAGAAAAAG
This is a long non-coding RNA of Prunus dulcis (almond), 364 nucleotides long. RefSeq lists it as uncharacterized. The transcript has 3 exons. The record is from RefSeq and is a predicted model, not a curated record. Lineage: Eukaryota; Viridiplantae; Streptophyta; Magnoliopsida; Rosales; Rosaceae.